This is a long non-coding RNA of Poecilia reticulata (guppy), 909 nucleotides long. RefSeq lists it as uncharacterized. NCBI's taxonomy places the organism in Eukaryota, Metazoa, Chordata, Actinopteri, Cyprinodontiformes, Poeciliidae. The record is from RefSeq and is a predicted model, not a curated record.
CAGGAUUAAAAUGUGUGAACCUUUAUACUAAGGUUGCUGUUGCUUCCAAAUUUCCCCUUUGUGGGACAAUAAAAGCUAUUUCAAUUUUUUUCCAUUUUAAAUCAGAAUGAACAACUAAUUGAAUUGUAUUAAUGCAUAAACUUAUAACUUUACUUGCACACAUGCUGCAUUACUUAGAUUAAUCUUACAGUAAAAGCACCAAGAAUUUCUAAUCCUGUAUAUCUCAACCACCGCAGUUCUGCUCCAUCACCACUGAGCCACUGAUCAUCAAGCCACCGCCCUUCUACACCAUCUCCAGGAAGCCACCACCAUUUAUUACACUCUUCAUCUUUUCUGUUGAAGACAUGGAAGCUGAACUUGGUGACAAACCCGAACUUCACAAGCAACUGAUCUGCAGCCGAACUGCGGGAGGAGAAUCCAACCCCAGCGGGGUUUAAAGCCGCUGCAGCCCAAGGAGAGGUGACCUGCUGUGGCCACCAGCCUCUGUUCACGCCAGUUUAACGCUGUGACUCACCAGACUCUCGGUCCCUCCUUCCCCCUGGCCCGCAUCCGGUCUGGCAAUGAUGGCGCGGUUCACAUGAGGCAUGCCGUACCUGGACCAGUGAUGGCUUAGCUUCCUGUCAGCCACUCAUACCAAAUACGGGCCAGUUAUGGAAGUAGCGAUGUCAACCAUGUGACAUGUGAUAAUCAUUUCUCAUAAGUGUAAAAAUUUAUAUUUACCAUUUGAAAGGACAGGAAAAAAACACAAAGAAAAUCAAAAGAAUAACAUGGCCAGUUUAUGGACAAUAACUAUCAACUUAAGAAUUGUAUUUUUUUAUUUCCCAAGAUUGUACAAAUUCAACAUUCAAAAUUGAUCCCAAGGGUAGGAUAAAUGGCUCCCAGUCUGUAAGUUUUUCAUAUCUAUCUUCU